Molecule: long non-coding RNA, 1160 nt
Filed under: Homo sapiens (human)
Lineage: Eukaryota; Metazoa; Chordata; Mammalia; Primates; Hominidae
Description: HSALNT0258049
Source: RNAcentral
AUUCUAAUGGCUUAGACAUCCUCAGGUUCUCCUGAUUAAAUGCAGGCCUUAGGAUGGCAGCUUCCAAGUCCAGGCUUCAGUGUAGAGCCAGGAAGAGGAUCCUGGGGCUCAUGGACCAACAGAGAGAGGGGGCAAGAAUUUGGCCUUGAGGUCAGCUCUCACACAGCCCUCUAGGCCUCAGGGACGGAGCCAUCUUUGAGGGUCUAUUAUUCCCUCUGUUUGGGCUGUUAAGCAGAUGCCCAGGGUAACAUUUGGGGUGGCCAGCCCAGCCCCCAGUACUGCCAGCAGAACAAUCAUGCACUGUCCCUGCCUGCUAUGCGCCAGGCACCCCCAGGAACUCCAUUCACCCCCAGGAAACCGCAGGCACUCCCAGAAACCCCCAUGCACCCUCAGGAAUCCCCAGGCACUUCCAGGAACCCCCAGGCACCUUUCCUCAGACACUUUCUGUUAUGACUUUUCUAGAGCUUCUGUAAUAGACAGAAAUGUAUCCUCUCACAGUUCUGGAGGCCAGAAGUCCAAACCAUUCAAGCUGUCAGCCUGGCCAUGCACUCUCUGCAGCCUCAGGAGGGGGGUGCUUCCUGGCCUCUCCCAGCUCCUGACAAUCCAGGCAGUCCAACCCCGGCUGGCGGCCACAUCACUCCCCUCUCCACUUGCGUCUUCACAUGGCAUGCUCCCUGCCACCCUGUGCCUUCCCAAGGCUGUCUCCUUGUAAAGAUGCCAGUGAGCAUGGACUGGGGGACUAAAUGUGACCACAACAGGCCCCAGGGAUGAGACCGGCAUGGACAUUGGUCUCUCCUGCCUUUGACUGGGCUUGACACCUCUUCCCUUUUCUUCCCCCAGAUGGAGGCACUGCAAACGGAGCUGAGCUGCCUGGGAUGAGAGGAUGGCCUGGCUCUGGCCAGGAGCUCCCUAAGGCAAACACGUAUGUCCCUGGGCCCUGGGUGUCCUCCUCAGAAAAGAAGAAGCCACCUCUAGGGAUGGCAGUCCAAAGUGGCUCUCACCAAAAUUAUUUGGGUAGUGUGGUCUCUGGGCUGGCGAUAUCAGCAUGACUGGGAAUUUGUUAGAAAAGCAACUUCUCUGGAAAUAGAGCCCAGAAAUCUCUGGUUGCCAAGUUCUGCAGCUUACGGCAUUCUUGCAGCAUGACAAAGUGUGAGAUACAC